GUUUGACGAGAGAAAUAGUGUCUCAAUAAAAAUUAAUGAAUUUUAUUUUUAAGUGAAAAAGCUUAAAUAAUUUUAAAAGACGAGAAGACCCUAUAGAGUUUAACAUUAAGUUUAUAAUAAUUUAUUGGAAUCAUUUGUUAUUAUAAUAAUUUUUGUUUAGCUGGGGUGGCUUUAAAAUUGAUUUCCUUACUCUAAACAACACCAACACCAGAGCUUACCUC
RNAcentral lists this ribosomal RNA (221 nucleotides) under Dermestes maculatus (common hide beetle). RNAcentral's name for it is "partial large subunit ribosomal RNA". The record is from RNAcentral. Lineage: Eukaryota; Metazoa; Arthropoda; Insecta; Coleoptera; Dermestidae.